UGGGAAUCUGGCUUAUGGAGGGGGAUAACUACGGGAAACUGUAGCUAAUACCGCGUAGUGUCGAGAGACGAAAGUGCGGGACCGCAAGGCCGCAUGCCAUGAGAUGAGCCCAAGUGGGAUUAGGUAGUUGGUGGGGUAAAGGCCUACCAAGCCUGCGAUCUCUAGCUGGUCUGAGAGGAUGGCCAGCCACACUGGAACUGAGACACGGUCCAGACUCCUACGGGAGGCAGCAGUGGGGAAUAUUGCGCAAUGGGGGGAACCCUGACGCAGCCAUGCCGCGUGAAUGAAGAAGGCCUUCGGGUUGUAAAGUUCUUUCGGUAUUGAGGAAGGAGUGUAUGUUAAUAGCAUACAUUAUUGACGUUAAAUACAGAAGAAGCACCGGCUAACUCCGUGCCAGCAGCCGCGGUAAUACGGAGGGUGCGAGCGUUAAUCGGAAUAACUGGGCGUAAAGGGCACGCAGGCGGUUAUUUAAGUGAGGUGUGAAAGCCCCGGGCUUAACCUGGGAAUUGCAUUUCAGACUGGGUAACUAGAGUACUUUAGGGAGGGGUAGAAUUCCACGUGUAGCGGUGAAAUGCGUAGAGAUGUGGAGGAAUACCGAAGGCGAAGGCAGCCCCUUGGGAAUGUACUGACGCUCAUGUGCGAAAGCGUGGGGAGCAAACAGGAUUAGAUACCCUGGUAGUCCACGCUGUAAACGCUGUCGAUUUGGGGAUUGGGCUUAAAGCUUGGUGCCCGUAGCUAACGUGAUAAAUCGACCGCCUGGGGAGUACGGCCGCAAGGUUAAAACUCAAAUGAAUUGACGGGGGCCCGCACAAGCGGUGGAGCAUGUGGUUUAAUUCGAUGCAACGCGAAGAACCUUACCUACUCUUGACAUCCAUGGAAUUCUGUAGAGAUACGGGAGUGCCUUCGGGAACCAUGAGACAGGUGCUGCAUGGCUGUCGUCAGCUCGUGUUGUGAAAUGUUGGGUUAAGUCCCGCAACGAGCGCAACCCUUAUCCUUUGU
RNAcentral lists this ribosomal RNA (999 nucleotides) under Haemophilus haemolyticus. Its description in RNAcentral is "bacterial SSU rRNA". It matches the Rfam family "Bacterial small subunit ribosomal RNA", at positions 118 to 1115 of the family's 1533-position model. The record is from RNAcentral. Lineage: Bacteria; Pseudomonadati; Pseudomonadota; Gammaproteobacteria; Pasteurellales; Pasteurellaceae.